AUACAUAAAUCGAUGGAAAAUACAUAGAUCUUAGGAUUUUAACUACCAAAUCAAAACCCCCAUCAUCAAUUUACAAAAGAAAUAAAACUUAAGAGAGAGAAAAUUUAUACCUUGCUUUUCUUCCUCAUCUUCUUCUUCUCUUCCAUGGAGAUUUCCUCCAUCUUUCCCCCAUGAAGGGCUGCCACCCCUGUCUUCUUCUUUCCCUCUCCUUCUCGGUUUCUCUCUUCUCUCUUUCUUCUCCCGUUCUUUCUCUUUCUCUU
RNAcentral lists this long non-coding RNA (260 nucleotides) under Panax ginseng (ginseng). Its description in RNAcentral is "long non-coding RNA (PGIN_LNC015432)". Lineage: Eukaryota; Viridiplantae; Streptophyta; Magnoliopsida; Apiales; Araliaceae. The record is from RNAcentral.